UGUGUGUGUGGCGGGAGCUCCUUGGAGCGACAGGAACCCAGGUCUAGCACCCCGGCCCCAGGAGCAGCUGGUGCCUUCCCCAGGACCUGAGGGGAAAACAGCCAUCAAAGUGCUCUGUCACCGCCACAGUGCUCAUGCUCAUGCUCACAGGGCCCUGGUUUAGGAAGCAGCCUACACAUCUGAACUCCUCUUCCAGAUGCAGCAACAGAAGCACAGAGAGGCUGAGCAUCGAAGUGCCUUCUUCCCUGCCACAUCAUUUUAAUUCCAAAAGGAACUGAACUGUGCAAGGAACCUAAGAGCAUCCCCAUUUUGCAGACCGCACCAUUAAGGCCUGGAGGCCAAGGGCAUUUCUUGGCCAGCACGCCCCUCUGGAGGACUGGAUGGGCCAUCAAGUCUACACAUCAACCCCCCCAUCCCCUGAGCUCCUUUGUCACUUCCCCUCCGGCCCUCAGAGCCACCACUGGAAAGAUUUUGUCUUUCUAAACGGAGUUUAGAGAUCACCCACUUGUUCUCUCUCAUUGGGUCCAGCAGCUAAUUGGGGCCUUUGAUGGACGUGAGGCAAGCUGGGGGUUGUGGGCUGGGUGC
Mustela erminea (ermine) is the source of this 585-nucleotide long non-coding RNA. RefSeq lists it as uncharacterized. The transcript is spliced from 4 exons. NCBI's taxonomy places the organism in Eukaryota, Metazoa, Chordata, Mammalia, Carnivora, Mustelidae. The record is from RefSeq and is a predicted model, not a curated record.